This is a long non-coding RNA of Dreissena polymorpha, 370 nucleotides long. RefSeq lists it as uncharacterized. The record is from RefSeq and is a predicted model, not a curated record. The transcript is spliced from 2 exons. NCBI's taxonomy places the organism in Eukaryota, Metazoa, Mollusca, Bivalvia, Myida, Dreissenidae.
UUGACCUUCAAAGGAAUGACCUUGAAAUGUCCAGUGGUUACUUACUAGUUCUGGCCAACCUUCAUGUCAAGUUUCAAGACUCUAGGUCCAAGCAUACCAAAGUUAUAACAACUUUAACAUUUUUAUAUUGAAGGUCACAGUGACCUUCACCUUCAAAUGAAUGACCUUGAAAUGACCAGUGGUCAUCUGUUAAUCCUGGCCAACCUUCAUGUCAAGUUUGAAGACUCUAGGUCCAAGCAUACCAAAGUUAUACCAUGAAAUAAGAACUUUAACAUUUUUACAUUCAAGGUCACAGUGACCUUGACCUUCAAAUGAAUGACCUUGAAAUGACCAGUGGUUACUAACUAGUUAUGGCCAACCUUCAUGUCAA